UCAGGUGUUCUAGAACCCUGAUAAUCCUUCAGGUAUUCUAGAACCCUGAUAAUCCUUACUUCAGGUAUUCUAGAACCCUGAUAAUCCUUCAGGUAUUCUAGAACCCUGAUAAUCCUUCAGGUAUUCUAGAACCCUGAUAAUCCUUCAGGUAUUCUAGAACCCUGAUAAUCCUUACUUCAGGUAUUCUAAGAAUUCCGAAGACAUGUCGGCACUUUGUGGUCUGAUGCUGAUGCAAUAUCUCCUCACCAUUUCAAACCACCUCCGAUUUCCACCGCAACAACCUGAAAACUCCAAGCUCAAGGAAUGCACACUGCCCUGCUACACAGUACCACACAGUACUAAAUAGUAGUACACAGUACCACACAGUACUAAAUAGUAGUACACAGUACCACACAGUACUAAAUAGUACUACGCAGUACUACAUAGUAUUACUACACACAACAAUGCAUGGGGUGUCAGUGUGUGUGUGUGUCAACGAGCUAACUUGUUAUAAAAGUUGUUGGCUUGUGUCUCACAGUGGAACAGACAUGUUCUGUGUAAGUCUGACAGGUAAUUUACUGAAAUCAGGAGUUUAAAAAAUAUAUAUAUAUUUCCUAUGUAGAACUCAUAAGCAGCUAAUGGAAGAAGCACUGUGGUGUCUUUAUUUCACAUAAACAUUAAUGUUUGUGUAUCUAAAUCAGUCCUAACGAGACACUCACUUGUACCUUUCCUCAACUGGGCCUUCUGUUUGACAAACUGUUCACUUGAAUAUAUUUGUUUUUCUGAUUUACUCAACGUUUUUUUUUAUUAAGGAUCAAGUGCUUGUAUGACACGACACGAUAUAAUUGUUUGUUUUUGCUCUGAUUUUUUUCUGAACUAUGUACUAUUCAUAUACAUUAUGUACCUCAAACAAACUGAUAAAAAAAAAUGGACUUAUAAUCGAUUGACAAAUACCUACCUCCAGUCUUGAAAAGGAAUUGAUUUUUGCCGGGUUUCUUUCAAUAUCAGUGUGAGUUUUGAUAAUGUAUGGUGAAAUCUUAUCAAUAUUAUGGACUGCAAAAGAUCCCUUACUCAGAAGUAUUUUUUUUUUGUAACUUGUUUUUUAAAACUUCUGAACCAAGUAAAUGUUGACUUCACCCUGCGGAAGAAAUAGCCUUCAAAAAAAAAAAAAUGUAUCUUGAAGAUUUUCAGGUUUUUUAAAAAAUAUAUGUUUGGGUUUUGUAUAUUGUAUUCAUGGAUUUUGUUGUUUUUAAUUAGAUAUUGUAGAUAUUGAUAUACUUGAUUAGCUAUUUUGUGUACUUUUACGACACACGUGAUUUUAUUUUUCUUGUUGUUAUGGUUCAACCAGAUGUAUAUGAAAAUGCUUCUUUAAAUAGUGAUGGAUUACAACUUUUAAAUGUUAACAUGGUAUAUUCUCAUACGGGCCUGAGGUAGGGAGCCUCAGAGAGUUAGUCAAACAACCCGACAUGCCCUUUCCACUCACACAAGCCUGAGGUAGGGAGCCUCAGAGAGUUAGUCAAACAACCCAACAUGCCCUUUCCACUCACACAAGCCUGGGUAGGGAGCCUCAGAGAGUUAGUCAAACAACCCAACAUGCCCUUUCCACUCACACAGGUCUGCAAGCUGCAAUUCAAACUUGACAUCAGUCAGUUUUAAGCUGCUUUCAUGUGCUCUCUGAAUUAUAUUGAUACUUCCGAGUUACUCAGUAUGAUACUUCCAAGUUACUCAGUCAAAUACUUCUGAGUUUCUCAGUCAAAUACUUCUGAGUUUCUCAGUCGGAUACUUCUGAGUUUCUCAGUCGGAUACUGCCAAGUUUCUCAGUCGGAUACUGCCAAGUUUCUCAGUCGGAUACUGCCAAGUUUCUCAGUUGAAUACUUCCGAGUUUCUCAGUCGGAGACUUCCGAGUUUCUCAGUUGGAUACUUGCGAGUUUCUCAGUUUGAGACUUCUGAGUUUCUGUCGAAUACUUCUGAGUUUCUCAGUCGAAUACUUCCGAGUUUCUCAGUUGGAGACUUCCAAGUUUCUCAGUCGAAUACUUCCAAGUUUCUCAGUCGGAGACUUCCAAGUUUCUCAGUUGAAUACUGCCAAGUUUCUAAGUCGAAUACUUCCAAGUUUCUCAGUCUAAUACUUCCAAGUUUCUCAGUCGGAGACUUCCAAGUUUCUCAGUUGAGACUUCCAAGUUUCUCAGUUGAAUACUGCCAAGUUUCUCAGUUGAAUACUGCCAAGUUUCUCAGUCGAAUACUUCCGAGUUUCUCAGUCGGAUACUUCCAAGUUUCUCAGUUGAAUACUGCCACGUUUCUCAGUCGGAGACUUCCAAGUUUCUCAGUUGAAUACUUCCAGUUUCUCAGUCGGACACUUCCAAGUUUCUCAGUUGAAUACUUCCAAGUUUCUCAGUUGAAUACUGCCACGUUUCUCAGUCGGAGACUUCCAAGUUUCUCAGUUGAAUACUUCCGAGUUUCUCAGUCGGAGACUUCCAAGUUUCUCAGUUAAAUACUUCCAAGUUUCUCAGUCGGAUACUUCCAAGUUUCUCAGUUGAAUAAUUCAGAGUUUCUCAGUUGAAUACUGCCAAGUUUCUCAGUCGGAGACUGCCAAGUUUCUCAGUCGGAUACUUCUGAGUUUCUCAGUCAAAUACUUCCAAGUUUCUCAGUCGAAUACUUCCAAGUUUCUCAGUCAGAUGCAUACCCCACAGUUUCCUAUUUUCCGAGGAAGGCAGCAUUAUUUUCUUCACACACUAUUACUGUCCAGAAUGUUCCCUGAACUGUAUCAUUGAUGGAUGGGUUCAUCUUUGAUAACAACUCUCGAUAACUCUCAGGUACAUAACAAUCAAAACAGAGAACGUAGGUUGAUCAAGAACCAACCUUAUUGUUGAUGAGGUGAAGUCAUAGUGGGCCUAUGCUUUAUGUCGAUGCCGUUUGACAGCUGCCUUGGUUUUGAAACGGCUUCGUAGGGCCUACCUGUGUGAGUUGGUCGAUCACAUGUUGUAGCUUUGAAAAGCACGGCCUAGAAACAGAUAGACUUCACGGCUGAGAAGAACAAUGGCUUUGUCUAAAAACGUCACAAGCAGGUUAAAAAUCCUCCUCGCUUACUGCUUCCUUGUUGCCGUAAUUCCUCUCAAAGCUCAUUGGAGGUGUGGAUCUACGGUUCCUCCUCUCGGGAACUUCUCCUCCAAUGAGCUUUGAGAGGAAUUCAGGAAACGAGGACAGGUCAGGGGGUGAAGCAAGUCAUUGACGGCUAGUACUGUUUUGAGACUGUCGAUCAUCAGCAUGAAAAGCUAUAAGAGAUUUUCUUUUUAAACGUUUCAAAAAAAGGGCUAAACACUGUGGUGCUCAUAACUGACACUGAUUAUAUCAUAGGAGGUAAUGACGUUCCAAUGUUGGAGCUCCAUGAACAUUGGACUAUAUUUCAUAGAUAUAUAUAAUAAUAUAUAUAUAAAUAUAAUUAUUAUAUAUAUAUAAUUAUAUAUAUAAAUAUAUAUUCGAGUUCUGAAGUGUAAGAGUAUUCAAACAAAAAAACAAUUGAAACAAUGUUUUUUUUUGUUUUUUUUGGGAUGUUUUACCUCAUGUUGGUGUGAAUGUGUAACUAUGGAAACCACUGUUUUGUUGACGUGCUUUGAGCUCUUGGAGUCUUAAUGAAGAUGAUCCCCGUUCUAGAACAGUCCCAAUACACAUUACUACCUCCACACAAAAAAAGGGCCUACUGUUACCUCAUUUUCAAACUAAGCCUGCUCCCAAAUGGCACCCUAUUCCCUAUAUUAGUGCACUCCUUUUGACCAGGGAGUGCACUACUUUUGACCGGAUCCUUUACGGGACAAGUCCGCUAUAUAGAGACUAGGGUACAAUUUGUGACGCAAGCUUAAAUAUCUGCUUAGUAAAACUCAUGGUGACGAAAGAGAACAGGGAGAACAUCGUAACAUUUUAUAUAUAUAUAUAUAGUUUAUUUUUUUUGUUGGGGGAUAAAUUUUAUAAGACUGUUCCUUCUCUGCCUCUUAGUCACCACUAGGUAAGAAUGGACAUGUAUUUUUUUUAAAUUUUGUAUUUUUUUUUAAAAGAACAUUUUCUGACAUUAUGCAAUGUUCCGUAGUUAUAUUAAUCUGUGGAGAGGAGAGGCGGCGGUGCGGUGGGGGGGGGAUAAACAUAAUUUCUGUGUUUGACACCGUCUCCCUCAGUAUAGAACCUCAUGUCUUCGAUCCAACUUGCAUCGUCUCCUCUCUGUCCACCUAGUAUUUGCUGUCUUCAAUUACACAUCCAAAUUGCUUGUUUGAAUAUACAAGACAAAAACCCAAGUUAUCUUAAUAGAUAUUUACAGCCUUGUUUCAGCACAAUAAUAAAUAAAUAAAAACUAAAAUAUGGCUUCUGU
Molecule: long non-coding RNA, 4333 nt
Organism: Oncorhynchus gorbuscha (pink salmon)
Lineage: Eukaryota; Metazoa; Chordata; Actinopteri; Salmoniformes; Salmonidae
Exons: 2
Source: RefSeq, a predicted model, not a curated record